This 466-nucleotide ribosomal RNA is filed under the name uncultured bacterium. RNAcentral describes it as "partial 16S ribosomal RNA". It matches the Rfam family "Bacterial small subunit ribosomal RNA", at positions 28 to 507 of the family's 1533-position model. The record is from RNAcentral.
GACGAACGCUGGCGGUGUGCUUAACACAUGCAAGUCGAACGGUAAGGCCCUUUCGGGGGUACCCGAGUGGCGCACGGGUGAGUAACACGUGAGUAACCUGCCCUCAUCUCUGGGAUAACAGUCGGAAACGGUUGCUAAUACUGGAUAUGAGCUUGCAAGGCAUCUUGUGGGUUGGAAAGAUUUUUUUGGUUGGGGAUGGACUCGCGGCCUAUCAGCUUGUUGGUGAGGUAGUGGCUCACCAAGGCUUCGACGGGUAGCCGGCCUGAGAGGGCGACCGGCCACAUUGGGACUGAGAUACGGCCCAAACUCCUACGGGAGGCAGCAGUGGGGAAUAUUGCACAAUGGACGGAAGUCUGAUGCAGCAACGCCGCGUGCGGGAUGACGGCCUUCGGGUUGUAAACCGCUUUCAAUUGUGACGAAGCUUUUUGUGACGGUAGCAGUAGAAGAAGCACCGGCUAACUACGUG